AUUGAACGCUGGCGGCAGGCCUAACACAUGCAAGUCGAGCGGAGCGGCGGACGGGUGAGUAAUAUAUCGGAACGUACCGAGUAAUGGGGGAUAACCAAUCGAAAGAUUGGCUAAUACCGCAUAUUAUUCGAGCGGCCGAUAACUGAUUAGCUAGUUGGUGGGGUAAAGGCCUACCAAGGCGACGAUCCGUAACUGGUCUGAGAGGAUGAUCAGUCACACUGGAACUGAGACACGGUCCAGACUCCUACGGGAGGCAGCAGUGGGGAAUAUUGGACAAUGGGCGAAAGCCUGAUCUAGCCAUGCCGCGUGUGUGAAGAAGGUCUUCGGAUUGUAAAGCACUUUAAGUUGGGAGGCGUUACCAACAGAAUAAGCACCGGCUAACUUCGUGCCAGCAGCCGCGGUAAUUC
RNAcentral lists this ribosomal RNA (407 nucleotides) under uncultured bacterium. Its description in RNAcentral is "partial 16S ribosomal RNA". It matches the Rfam family "Bacterial small subunit ribosomal RNA", at positions 30 to 526 of the family's 1533-position model. The record is from RNAcentral.